UAGUUUCUGCCCACAUAUCUGGUACCAAAAUUUUUAUUAGUCUGUAACCACGUGGAUACCUAUGAAAGCUAUCCAUAAUUCUGUAACCACAUGACUUGUCUUCAUCUUUGAACAUCUAACAUUUUUGCUUUCAUCGUCAUCUGUGUUCGCAGCUAACUGUUUCCCGAUGAAAUCCUACACAAACAAUCCAAUUUUGCUUCGUUGUUUUCUGAAGUUGUUUGUAUACGGUGCUAUAUGUUAGAUAACCGCCGUAUCUGGUCCUCCUGAUGAAGCUGCAUAUUGGAAGCUGUAGAAUUGUUGGAUGUUAUUUAAGAUUUUCAGCUAUUCCAAUUGUAUGCAUGUUUUUAGCUAUUAAGAUUGACAACGAGAACUGUAUGAUAUUAAAACGAAACCAUUUUGAUUUUGAAUAGUACAAUGACGUUUCCAACAAUCAAAGUCCACAUGGAUUGUUUAUACUAAUGAACGUGCACUAAUAUCCCAAAACAAAUUCCUACACCAAAACAUUUCUCGCUAAGGUACAACAAUCUAUUUUGAUAGCUAAUCGUAGAUAGCUCAGCCGUGGUUCUCUAAACAAGGUUAUCUAUCAAUUAUUAAAGCUUAGAAGUUGCGUACAUUUUUCCAUAUCCACAUGGAUUUAUAUAUGAUGAACAUAAAUCCGUAGAUAAUGAUAUGAACUUAAAAUAUGUAUCUAUGUGGAUAUCUUUCAAACAACUCCUUUCAUAGACUCCAUCUUUCUCCUUUUCUUCAUUCUCAGCCACAUCUUGAAUCAAUUGCUUUUACGAGCACCCAUUCUCGUCUUCAACAUCUAGUUCACAUAGCCUUGUCGUCGUCGAUAACGGGACAAUCCUUGACAGGAAGAUCUGGUCUACCUUGAACUCGGCGGCGUUACCGCUUGAGAACCCCCAUUAUCCAGACACUACCACACAAAACCCAGAUAUUUCAGCCUGCAAAUACCAAAGAAAAAAAAAUUAAAAACUUACCCAAUCCACAAAAUACUCACAAAAGAAACAUAAAUCCGUCUCCACUAAAGCCUACCUCU
This 1039-nucleotide long non-coding RNA is filed under the name Capsella grandiflora. Its description in RNAcentral is "long non-coding RNA (CGRA_LNC001628)". The record is from RNAcentral. Lineage: Eukaryota; Viridiplantae; Streptophyta; Magnoliopsida; Brassicales; Brassicaceae.